CGGGAGCCAAAACUCUAAACCCACGGGAGAGGCGCUGUCAGAAUAUGACGCUGAAGGGGCGGGGUUUUGACCAUAUAUGGAGCGCUGACGCUUCCUGUCAGGCAGUGGCGCUCCACUGUACGGGUCCAGCCCUAUAGUGCAGCAAGCCUGAGAACACUCAUUCGCUCCACUUUUCCUCUUGCUUAGGCCCUAUAUGUGGAGCCAUCUGGACGUGGAGAGAGGGAGUCAGCUGCUCCACACACUGAGGCGCGGAGCCUGAAUCCGUCUCAGCUCAUUCUGUGGGAUCAUCUGCGUGGUGGGCUUACACCGUGGAAAAUGCGCUCUUCAUCAUUAGGUGAAAUGUUACCAUCAAAAUAAAAACAAAAAAAAGAGGAAAUGCUGAUCCCCGUUUGUUUUAGUGGUUGCAUGCGUGAAAACUUUGCACGGGAGUGGGAUUAGAAGCACAUUUUCUUUUUUUUUCUUUUAAAAAAAAGCGGUUUCUCAGCUGCGUGAUGGAGGUAAGUGAUGGGUGACAAGAAGGGGAACAAACUAUUUGUCUGAUCUCUGUAUCUUGGCCGCAGUGAAUGCUCAUUUAAAUGACCGGCUGAUGACACGGGGGCCUGCUAUCUCAUUCUCCUAUUCAGUGACCACAAUGAAUGAACCCCCAAAGAUUUGGGCCCUGACCACUGAUACAAAACCAAACUCCGGGGACGCAUGGCGUCCAAUAAUAAUAAUAAUAUAAAAAAGAAAAAGCAGAAAUGUGCAGGGUGACUUGGAAGACCUCCCGUCUCGCCGGAACGAGCCUCCUCCGUAUUGAGGGUGACGUCUUCUUUUUUGUGUGAAUUUACGGGGCGAGGCCCUCAUGAUCUCCUUAAAUUUGCAUGUAAAUGGCGACAUCAGCCUAUACGCGUGCCAGGGGCCAGCGGGCCUCCCAGAUGUCAAGGCAAAGUCAAUCAGCCGGCCGCUGCCCAGCUGUCCAUCGAUGCACUUUAUUGGGACAACACUUUCAUUAUGCUCACCUGCAUUGUUUCCUAAUGGAUUGAUUGGCAAAAGAAGAAGAAGAAGAAGAAGGGGGGAAAUAAAGGAAAUCUUAUUAGCAACCCAGCAAGCAAGUUCGCUCACGGCUUUAUCACAGAGGUUGUUUUAAAGUGAGCCUUUUUUCGAUUAAAUAUUAAUCAAAUGCGCCUACAGUUACAUUCCAAAUUCCAUAUGGAACAAAAAAAAAAGAAAAAAAAAAGGCAGUCAGCCCACUUAUUGUUUACUGCAACUAACAUUGUUUAGACCUAGGAUUUUCCGUCAACUUGAAAUGUAUGGAUUUAUUUAUUUAUUUGUAUGCGACAUGUGCAAGUUAGUGCGCAAAAAAAAGAAAACAUGCAGCCUUUGUUUUAAUUUUUUCCAUCACUUGUAGCUGCACGAUAAAAGCUCAAUUAACUGUAUGCACAUAUUUUUUUUAUUUUUUUUCUCAUAAGUGGGAGGAAUUAAACAACACUUAUGCAUGCAUUUUAAAUUUUUAUGAAUUUACUAAAAAACAAAAAAACAAAGCCCAAUUGCGCAUUGGGAUAAAAAUCCUCUUUGCAAACUUUGGAUCCACCAUCAGUUGCAGGGCCUAAUAAAUGCACGUCCGGAAUUUGACGUGACAUAUUCAGAGAUGAUAUUAAAACGCAGCUUGCGCGUUAUUUUUAAUUAUAGGAGCCAAACACAAACGGCUGAGAGUGAUGAGAUCAAUCAUGUAGGCUGUAUGCACGUCAAGUAGUUUGUGGCUGAUAGACGGACAGCGCCCCUCGUUGGUUACACUUGAGAUCAUUGUGUCGAUAUGAGGCAGCUGUGUUCUUCAGUGACAAGAUAGCUAAAUCUCAACUUGGGUUUUUAUCUAGGAGACCCCCUCUUUGGCCCCCACACUGCGGCAGAAACUGUUUUUAUUUAGGAGAAAUUAUUUAAAAUAAAAAAGUUUAAAAAAUGCAAAUCCUAAAACUGUGCAAAACAGCUGACUACUAAUUUUAAAAAAUGAAAUUAAAAUCCAUAUUUGUAGAGCAAAAAGACGCAGAAAGGAAAUCAUUUUGCCGUUUUGUAAAUCACUUUAAACCAUAUUAUUGUUAUUGGUAUUAUUAUUAUUAGUUGCUUCUGUUGCGUUCAGGUGCGUUUAUUGUGGGAUUGAGUGGGGAAAAAAAUAAAAAUAAAACCCAUGCGUUUUCUUUGACACACCGCUGGUGUGACUUCACGUUUCGUCACUAACUUCUGUCAGAGUGCUCAUGUUAAUUGUGUGCAGUGGUGAGUUCUGUCAAGGGCAUUGCCCGUGCGCACAAUUUGCAUUUCCAUUCUGCUGUGGAAAUGAUGAGAGAGUUUCUGCGCGGUUUAGAGCCUCGCGGCGCAGUCUGUGGGCGAAUUACAUUUAAAGAAGGCGAGAGAAAUUAAAUAAGAAACCGAGACCACUUCAGGGCUAUUAACAUCUAAAAUAUCCCCUGGAAAUUUAGACCAAAAUACACAUGACCAAAUACCCAGGAUACCUUCGCUCUUAUAGCGCAGAACCGUCUUGAUUGCGUCCAUCACUGUUUUGUGGGCAUAUCUAAAAUCCUUUAUUUAAAUAAUAAGAAAAAAAGUUAUCACGCCGCCUCAUAUUUCUCCGUGGCGUAGAUGGAAGGGAGAUAAAUUUGAUUAUUCAGCCCCUAAAACGGGAGCUCUUCUAAUCCAGGCGCCCUGCUGCCAAACAGGCUGUGGCACCUGGAAAAUAGGUGCAAAUAUCUAUCUGGCUUUAGAGGUCAUUUAAAAAUCUCAUCAGUAAGUAUGAUAUGGGCACAUGUUGCAUCGGGCAACGUGGCCUCCAAACGGGAGGCAUCAGCUUUAACCUUGGUCUCUCUUCCUCCUCCUUCUUCUUCUUCUUUUUUUUCCCAGCGCCUGUGCGUGCAUGACCAAACAGGCUGCAGCCUUUGCCUCAGCACUCCAGAGAACUUUAAUUUGCCUGUUGACCCCUGUGAUGGAGGGGUUGCCAACUUACAGUGAUACUGCCCCACCUGCCAGAGUCCAAUAAUUCUCCAGUCACUCCCAUCAAAAUGUAUAUUUUUCAACGUGUUGCAUCAGUACCUCUAAAUGACUUCUGCAGGGAUUACCAUCAUUAAGGAGAUCCAUGUUUGAUGCAGACUGACAGGGUGUCUCCUAUAUGAGCAACACACCACAAUUCAUUACCACUCCACGACUGAAUUUUGAUUUUAGCCACAGAUCCUUAUUAAUAUUGAACUGUGUUACUAUUAACAGAAAUGUUAAUUAUGAUGUCAAGACAGAGGGAGUCAAGGUGAAAGCUGCACAGCAAUAGCUAAAAAUAAUCCAUGCCAGCCAGAGUACAGUAUGAUCCUGCAGAGGAGUGUUACUGGCAAGGGACCUUUUUGCUGCAACAAAGAGGUGGAAAAGAGGAAGUAAAUGAAUUAGAGUACAAGCCAGAUUUUUUGUCUUUGUUUCAUCCACACUUGUCCUGUCCCUAUUUUCCAACCUCUCCCUUUUCCUUGCUAUUGGAAGUGCUGCAAAUUGUAUAAUGCUGGUCUUUGUUCUACAGAGUCAAGCCACAUGAAUAGCCGUCCUGAGCACACACAAAAACACACUGACAAACUGAUCAUCUUAAAAAAGCAACGCCCUGGUGCUCACUUGGCCUACUUUCCACGGCAGCACUGGGACGUGGGAAGAGGAAUAGAAUUCAGGGGAGGAUGUUCUUGCACUCUGGGAAACAUUCAGUAUAGCAAGUGUGAUGCACAUAAACAUAGCCUUUGCAUUGUCAACCUUAGACUGCAUUUGCCCCAGAUAACUAGUCCCCAUGUGCUAGACUAUUCUCUUUGACUUUGCAAUUGAAAUCCUGAGAAGAUUAUGCCAAAGCUAAAAGAGGCAAACUCCAGGGUGGGAUUUCAAUUGUCAAUUCCUGUUGGAUUUUAUAGCAUUAUGACAUAUAGUACACCAUCUGUUACGCUUCCUGUGACUAGGUCUACAUCUGCACAAGUGGAGCCUAUUGAUGUGAACAUCAGUACAACUAAGACCUGCCGUUCUGAAUGGGCAGCAAUAUUCAAUCGCUAAUAUUUUCCUCUUGCACACUAUUUAACACAGAUGUAUGACUAAGCACGGGGGGGUCUCUGGGUUACAAAACACAAGAGCAAAUUAGAAAAGGUGCAGGAAAGUAACCACUCCUAACUUUAGCUAAACAGACUUCCUGAAGCGCUAGAUAAUCUGGGGCUUCUAUGUACACCGCCUAACCAAAUGUCGACAUCUGUGAGGGUGUGCAUAAAGAAAAGCUUCUCAGAGAAACGGGGGAUAAUAAUCUUAGUUCCCCUCACCUUCAGCUUGCCCAUAGGGGUUUAAAAGAGAGAUGAAAUCCUAUGUAAACAUGCCAAGUCAAAUUUUCACUUGAAAUGUGACAUAAAGGCAAAGGGCAGCCUCGGCGCAUCACUAAUGUGCUUCCACACAUGAGUUUUCAGCGCCCCUGGAUGUAAACAAUUGAUGUAUUCAGCCCGUGGUUUGAACACUGAGUCACUGCGCACUCUUAGUAUGUUUGAGCAUCUUCUUAUCCAUGACUGUACGUUUAGUGCAUAGGUGAAGAGCCCAGAGAAGUCAACACAAGAGCUUGUACACAAUCUCUGUACUCAAUAGCUCCCCGAAAGUGAGUUUUGCUCUCCUGAGAAACAUACAAAGUUUGAGCAUCUGUUCCAUCAUGUAGUCUUUGUUGAGAAAUUAAAUAUUGAACUGAUCUAGUGUACCAUGAAUGUUUCACUCACAUAGUGAUUAGACAGACAGGAGAGGCAAGACACUGCAGCACUUUACACUCCACUUUAAUAUACUGUAUUUGUUGGUCUUGCCUUUAAGUGUUUUAUCCACCAGAUUGCAUUGUUGUGACAGAAAAAAGGCUGUUUUUUUUUAUUUUUUAUUUUAAGUGAGUUAUAUUUAACGUGCAUGUGUGACUUGACACAAACAAAUUCAUAUGUAUGUUAUGCAUGUGCACAAACACAAUCAACCACAGUAUGAGAAUCACUGUAUGGCGUUGUCCAGCUGUGUGAAUUAACAUAAUUUUUUUUUAAACAUAAAUUACUUUUUGGUUUUAUGAUUCAAUUUCCAAGUUGGUGGCAUCUGUUUUUACACUUUAAUGUUAUUGUGCAUGUAAAAAAAAAACCUACUGAUUUAAAUUGGUUUUCUUGUUGCAUCUCAGAAUAAAGGACACCUCUUUUCUUAAUUCCUCA
Molecule: long non-coding RNA, 5186 nt
Organism: Acanthochromis polyacanthus (spiny chromis)
Lineage: Eukaryota; Metazoa; Chordata; Actinopteri; Pomacentridae
Exons: 2
Source: RefSeq, a predicted model, not a curated record